GAAAUAGAGACCUAAGAUACUGUUUUCAAAAAGGGUUGAGAUCCCUAGGAACCCAAGAGAAGGCAGAUGGCUGGAGGCAGCUGCAGACUCCGGCAAGAAUGCUGAUCUGAAUUCUAGCGAGAAAGGGUGGCUAGAGUAGCUUCACACACACCCUUCACUCUCCUGUUGAUUCCCGAGAGACAGAAGGAAGAAAUGAGGUUGGGAUUCUCGGGAAGCAGGAGGAAAGGAGGAAAAUAAGAGUUGAGACUUGAAAGCUCUGAUACCAUGAAGAAUCAGAAAAAUAGAGAAGAAAUGUUUGAGAAAAUUAGCUUGAUUAUUCCCUCAAG
Molecule: unclassified non-coding RNA, 326 nt
Filed under: Hevea brasiliensis (rubber tree)
Lineage: Eukaryota; Viridiplantae; Streptophyta; Magnoliopsida; Malpighiales; Euphorbiaceae
Source: RNAcentral